GGUUAAGCGACUAAGCGUACACGGUGGAUGCCCUGGCAGUCAGAGGCGAUGAAGGACGUGCUAAUCUGCGAUAAGCGUCGGUAAGGUGAUAUGAACCGUUAUAACCGGCGAUUUCCGAAUGGGGAAACCCAGUGUGAUUCGUCACACUAUCAUUAACUGAAUCCAUAGGUUAAUGAGGCGAACCGGGGGAACUGAAACAUCUAAGUACCCCGAGGAAAAGAAAUCAACCGAGAUUCCCCCAGUAGCGGCGAGCGAACGGGGAGCAGCCCAGAGCCUGAAUCAGUGUGUGUGUUAGUGGAAGCGUCUGGAAAGGCGCGCGAUACAGGGUGACAGCCCCGUACACAAAAAUGCACAUACUGUGAGCUCGAUGAGUAGGGCGGGACACGUGGUAUCCUGUCUGAAUAUGGGGGGACCAUCCUCCAAGGCUAAAUACUCCUGACUGACCGAUAGUGAACCAGUACCGUGAGGGAAAGGCGAAAAGAACCCCGGCGAGGGGAGUGAAAAAGAACCUGAAACCGUGUACGUACAAGCAGUGGGAGCACAGAGCAAUCUGUGUGACUGCGUACCUUUUGUAUAAUGGGUCAGCGACUUAUAUUCUGUAGCAAGGUUAACCGAAUAGGGGAGCCGAAGGGAAACCGAGUCUUAACUGGGCGUUAAGUUGCAGGGUAUAGACCCGAAACCCGGUGAUCUAGCCAUGGGCAGGUUGAAGGUUGGGUAACACUAACUGGAGGACCGAACCGACUAAUGUUGAAAAAUUAGCGGAUGACUUGUGGCUGGGGGUGAAAGGCCAAUCAAACCGGGAGAUAGCUGGUUCUCCCCGAAAGCUAUUUAGGUAGCGCCUCGUGAAUUCAUCUCCGGGGGUAGAGCACUGUUUCGGCAAGGGGGUCAUCCCGACUUACCAACCCGAUGCAAACUGCGAAUACCGGAGAAUGUUAUCACGGGAGACACACGGCGGGUGCUAACGUCCGUCGUGAAGAGGGAAACAACCCAGACCGCCAGCUAAGGUCCCAAAGUCAUGGUUAAGUGGGAAACGAUGUGGGAAGGCCCAGACAGCCAGGAUGUUGGCUUAGAAGCAGCCAUCAUUUAAAGAAAGCGUAAUAGCUCACUGGUCGAGUCGGCCUGCGCGGAAGAUGUAACGGGGCUAAACCAUGCACCGAAGCUGCGGCAGCGACGCUGAUGCGUUGUUGGGUAGGGGAGCGUUCUGUAAGCCUGUGAAGGUGUGCUGUGAGGCAUGCUGGAGGUAUCAGAAGUGCGAAUGCUGACAUAAGUAACGAUAAAGCGGGUGAAAAGCCCGCUCGCCGGAAGACCAAGGGUUCCUGUCCAACGUUAAUCGGGGCAGGGUGAGUCGACCCCUAAGGCGAGGCCGAAAGGCGUAGUCGAUGGGAAACAGGUUAAUAUUCCUGUACUUGGUGUUACUGCGAAGGGGGGACGGAGAAGGCUAUGUUGGCCGGGCGACGGUUGUCCCGGUUUAAGCGUGUAGGCUGGUUUUCCAGGCAAAUCCGGAAAAUCAAGGCUGAGGCGUGAUGACGAGGCACUACGGUGCUGAAGCAACAAAUGCCCUGCUUCCAGGAAAAGCCUCUAAGCAUCAGGUAACAUCAAAUCGUACCCCAAACCGACACAGGUGGUCAGGUAGAGAAUACCAAGGCGCUUGAGAGAACUCGGGUGAAGGAACUAGGCAAAAUGGUGCCGUAACUUCGGGAGAAGGCACGCUGAUAUGUAGGUGAAGUCCCUCGCGGAUGGAGCUGAAAUCAGUCGAAGAUACCAGCUGGCUGCAACUGUUUAUUAAAAACACAGCACUGUGCAAACACGAAAGUGGACGUAUACGGUGUGACGCCUGCCCGGUGCCGGAAGGUUAAUUGAUGGGGUCAGCGCAAGCGAAGCUCUUGAUCGAAGCCCCGGUAAACGGCGGCCGUAACUAUAACGGUCCUAAGGUAGCGAAAUUCCUUGUCGGGUAAGUUCCGACCUGCACGAAUGGCGUAAUGAUGGCCAGGCUGUCUCCACCCGAGACUCAGUGAAAUUGAACUCGCUGUGAAGAUGCAGUGUACCCGCGGCAAGACGGAAAGACCCCGUGAACCUUUACUAUAGCUUGACACUGAACAUUGAGCCUUGAUGUGUAGGAUAGGUGGGAGGCUUUGAAGUGUGGACGCCAGUCUGCAUGGAGCCGACCUUGAAAUACCACCCUUUAAUGUUUGAUGUUCUAACGUUGACCCGUAAUCCGGGUUGCGGACAGUGUCUGGUGGGUAGUUUGACUGGGGCGGUCUCCUCCUAAAGAGUAACGGAGGAGCACGAAGGUUGGCUAAUCCUGGUCGGACAUCAGGAGGUUAGUGCAAUGGCAUAAGCCAGCUUGACUGCGAGCGUGACGGCGCGAGCAGGUGCGAAAGCAGGUCAUAGUGAUCCGGUGGUUCUGAAUGGAAGGGCCAUCGCUCAACGGAUAAAAGGUACUCCGGGGAUAACAGGCUGAUACCGCCCAAGAGUUCAUAUCGACGGCGGUGUUUGGCACCUCGAUGUCGGCUCAUCACAUCCUGGGGCUGAAGUAGGUCCCAAGGGUAUGGCUGUUCGCCAUUUAAAGUGGUACGCGAGCUGGGUUUAGAACGUCGUGAGACAGUUCGGUCCCUAUCUGCCGUGGGCGCUGGAGAACUGAGGGGGGCUGCUCCUAGUACGAGAGGACCGGAGUGGACGCAUCACUGGUGUUCGGGUUGUCAUGCCAAUGGCACUGCCCGGUAGCUAAAUGCGGAAGAGAUAAGUGCUGAAAGCAUCUAAGCACGAAACUUGCCCCGAGAUGAGUUCUCCCUGACCCUUUAAGGGUCCUGAAGGAACGUUGAAGACGACGACGUUGAUAGGCCGGGUGUGUAAGCGCAGCGAUGCGUUGAGCUAACCGGUACUAAUGAACCGUGAGGCUUAACCUU
This 2906-nucleotide ribosomal RNA is filed under the name Escherichia coli. RNAcentral's name for it is "23S ribosomal RNA". It matches the Rfam family "Bacterial large subunit ribosomal RNA". The record is from RNAcentral. Lineage: Bacteria; Pseudomonadati; Pseudomonadota; Gammaproteobacteria; Enterobacterales; Enterobacteriaceae.